UCUUUUUGUUGCCAAAUUUCA
Molecule: non-coding RNA, 21 nt
Filed under: Caenorhabditis elegans
Lineage: Eukaryota; Metazoa; Nematoda; Chromadorea; Rhabditida; Rhabditidae
Source: RNAcentral